AACGAACGUUGGCGGCGUGGAUGAGGCAUGCAAGUCGAACGUGAAAGCCGCAAGGUGAGUAGCGUGGCGGACGGGCGAGUAACACGUAAUCAAGCUGCCUGCGAGACGGGGAUAACCUCGGGAAACCGAGGCUAAGACCCGAUGGUCUUUUUGCUUCGCAUGGAGUGGAAAGUAAAUGGGCGGGAUCCUUUGGGACCGCCUGCUUGCAGAGGUGAUUGCGGUCCAUCAGCUAGUUGGUAGGGUAAUGGCCUACCAAGGCGACGACGGGUAGCCGGCCUUAGAGGGUGGUCGGCCGCACUGGGACUGAGACACUGCCCAGACUCCUACGGGAGGCUGCAGUCGAGAAUCUUCCGCAAUGGGCGAAAGCCUGACGGAGCGACGCCGCGUGGAGGACGAAGGCCCUUGGGUUGUAAACUCCUGUCACGAGUUAAGAAGGGGUCACUACGAACAGUGGUGAUCUUUGACGUAAGCUCGAGAGGAAGCACUGGCUAACUCUGUG
Molecule: ribosomal RNA, 499 nt
Filed under: uncultured organism
Description: bacterial SSU rRNA
Rfam family: Bacterial small subunit ribosomal RNA
Source: RNAcentral